RNAcentral lists this ribosomal RNA (216 nucleotides) under Glomeromycotina sp. Its description in RNAcentral is "partial small subunit ribosomal RNA". The stretch from base 87 to 216 matches the Rfam family "Eukaryotic small subunit ribosomal RNA", at positions 733 to 864 of the family's 1831-position model. Lineage: Eukaryota; Fungi; Glomeromycota. The record is from RNAcentral.
GGGUCAGUAGGUUGGUCGUGCCACCGGUACGUACUGGUCUCACUGAUCCCUCCUUCCUGAAGAACCGUAAUGCCAUUAAUUUGGCGUUGCGGGGAAACAGGACUGUUACUUUGAAAAAAUUAGAGUGUUUAAAGCAAGCUAACGCUUGAAUACAUUAGCAUGGAAUAAUGAAAUAGGACGAUCGAUCCUAUUUUGUUGGUUUCUAGGAUUGACGUA